Molecule: long non-coding RNA, 275 nt
Organism: Sinocyclocheilus grahami
Lineage: Eukaryota; Metazoa; Chordata; Actinopteri; Cypriniformes; Cyprinidae
Exons: 4
Source: RefSeq, a predicted model, not a curated record
CAGGAGUCUUAAAGGGUGGGUCGCCCCAUUCAAGGGCUCCUCCAUGUUGUAAAAUCACCAUCAUCAUCAUCAUCAUAAAAGACUCACAGAGCUGGGACGUUGCAAAUGCAGUGACUGAAGGAGAAGUUUACAGGACAGAGACUCCGCCCUCUUAUAUUUCACACCAAUCAUCCGGUCUAGAUCCUGGAGGCCAUCAAUGUGCCUGUCAUUUUCCUCAUUCGGAUGCGAUGUCACGAAUCACACGAUUCCAGCUGUCGUGCGUUGUGAAGAUGCUG